This 301-nucleotide ribosomal RNA is filed under the name uncultured bacterium. RNAcentral's name for it is "partial 16S ribosomal RNA". It matches the Rfam family "Bacterial small subunit ribosomal RNA", at positions 509 to 807 of the family's 1533-position model. The record is from RNAcentral.
CAGUCGCCGCGGGAAUACGAAGGGGGCUAGCGUUGCUCGGAAUUACUGGGCGUAAAGGGCGCGUAGGCGGACAGUUCAGUCGGGGGUGAAAGCCCGGGACUCAACCUCGGAAUUGCCUUCGAUACUGGCUGUCUUGAGUAUGAGAGAGGUGUGUGGAACUCCGAGUGUAGAGGUGAAAUUCGCAGAUAUUCGGAAGAACACCAAUGGCGAAGGCGACACACUGGCUCAUUACUGACGCUGAGGCGCGAAAGCGUGGGGAGCAAACAGGAUUAGAUACCCGCGUAGUCCCUGUCUCUUAUAC